This 103-nucleotide non-coding RNA is filed under the name Enterococcus mundtii. RNAcentral describes it as "TPP sequence". It matches the Rfam family "TPP riboswitch aptamer (THI element)". From Rfam's summary of the family: Vitamin B(1) in its active form thiamin pyrophosphate (TPP) is an essential coenzyme that is synthesised by coupling of pyrimidine and thiazole moieties in bacteria. The previously detected thiamin-regulatory element, thi box was extended, resulting in a new, highly conserved RNA secondary structure, the THI element, which is widely distributed in eubacteria and also occurs in some archaea. The record is from RNAcentral. Lineage: Bacteria; Bacillati; Bacillota; Bacilli; Lactobacillales; Enterococcaceae.
ACAAUCACAAAGGGGAGUCCAUUUUGGGCUGAGACUGAAUAUAUUCUAAACCCUUCGUACCUGUUUCGGUUAUGCGAGCGUAGGAAUUGUGAAUGAAUAGCUA